AACCCUUGUAUGACAGUGUCAACUGUCAGUGUCUUGUGUUGUUAUUGCGAAAAAGUGUUGCAGAUGAGAGAACAGUUUUGACACAAAUAGUUUUACAGGACUUAUAUUAAAUGAUACGUAUUAACAAUCUAGUUACUACGUGUUACUGCAAGCAAGCGUUGAGUUAAAUAUAAUUGUUUCCAAAUUAUAUUACGUUUUAAAAUGCCUCAAGGUAGAAGAAAAGUACCAUUUAGCGGCAAAGCUAAAUAAUUGCAACUACAAAUGAAACGACAAGGCCAAACCUCAAAAUCUUCUGUUCUACUGAAAACAACACAAAGCCAAAGCGAGGAUGAUACAAAUUGUCAAAAAAUUGAUUUCCACGCUUCUCAAAAUAACAGAAACACAAGCAGAUAUG
This is a long non-coding RNA of Ctenocephalides felis (cat flea), 394 nucleotides long. RefSeq lists it as uncharacterized. The record is from RefSeq and is a predicted model, not a curated record. The transcript is spliced from 3 exons. Lineage: Eukaryota; Metazoa; Arthropoda; Insecta; Siphonaptera; Pulicidae.